ACACCAGCGCCUCAAGUGGUACCCACGAAUACUGGGCCUAAAGCGUUCGUAGCCGGCCAAGUAAGUCUUCUGUGAAAUAGUAAGGCUUAACCUUACUGCGCGCAGGAGAUACUGCUAGGCUUGGGAACGGGGGAGGUCAGGAGUACACCCGGGGUAGGGGUAAAAUCCUUUGAGCCUGGGUGGACUACCAGUGGCGAAGGCGCCUGACCAAAACGUGUCCGACGGUGAGGAACGAAAGCUGGGGGAGCGAACGGGAUUAGAUACCCCGGUAGUCCCAGCCGUAAAUGAUGCAGACUGUGGUGUUGCUUCAGAGUUAAUCUGCAGCAGUGCUGUAGCGUAGGUGUUAAGUCUGCCGCCUGGGGAGUACGGCCGCAAGGUUGAAACUUAAAGGAAUUG
This 396-nucleotide ribosomal RNA is filed under the name uncultured archaeon. RNAcentral's name for it is "bacterial SSU rRNA". It matches the Rfam family "Archaeal small subunit ribosomal RNA", at positions 473 to 867 of the family's 1478-position model. The record is from RNAcentral.